Molecule: long non-coding RNA, 922 nt
Organism: Salvia miltiorrhiza (redroot sage)
Lineage: Eukaryota; Viridiplantae; Streptophyta; Magnoliopsida; Lamiales; Lamiaceae
Exons: 3
Source: RefSeq, a predicted model, not a curated record
UUUCGUCUUUUUGUCGACUUUCAAAAUCUUACGUGCACGUCGUCGAGAAAUAUUCUUAGUUUUUCGAUACGAGUCCAAUAAUGAAAGUUUUUAUUUUUGGACGACGAGUGAAUAGUAAACCGGGAUUUCUCGAUAAACGAACCGAGCUCGUUUAUCAGAAUUUCGAGAACGAGCUUGUAUUUUCUAUAUUUAUAUAGAAUUACGAGUGUAAUGAAAGUGAGUAGAGGUUGAGAGGGCGAGUAACGAAUAAUAUGGGUAGUUAGUCGUUAAAACGAGAUGAAACGAGAUAUUUAACGACUAACGGGUUAAUAUCCUAAAUAUCUAACCUACCCUACCCCUAACCACCCCCCAACUGCCCACUAUCCCUCUAUCUCACCUAACUCACGCUAUAUCAGCCCACACCACACACACAACUCACAUAUUCACACACACAACACCUAAAACACACACUACACACGCCAUUUUCCAUUUAAGCUUGGACGGAGCUUUUGACCUCCGAUUUGAGCACCGAGACGAGCGCCGAUCAUCUUUUCGAUCACGUAUCUAAGUAGGUCCUUUUUGGGAAGUAACGACUUGAGGGAGAGAGUGACGUUACUCAUUGAUACAGAGACACAACGAGGUUGAGCUGAUGUGAUGAUGGUGCUGCAAUGAGCGGAGUCUCCAGGGUUGUUAAUAAAUAGUUAACCUGUCUAGAAUAUGUCUUCAUACAUAUGUCUAGCUACUUUCCGCUGCAAGAUGUUGUUGAUGUUAUAGUAUGUUAUGUCAUACUUUGAGUCUUAAGAGAAUGGUUUCAUACGAUGUAUAACUUGAUUAAUGAUAUUAAUUAAGUUUUAUGCUGUCUUUCAUAGACUGUUUUCAAUUGAGUAUUAAUGAAUAAAAAUGACGAGUUUUAUUAAGAUGAGUAAGUUUUACGGCUAUAAAU